RNAcentral lists this ribosomal RNA (253 nucleotides) under uncultured bacterium. RNAcentral describes it as "partial 16S ribosomal RNA". It matches the Rfam family "Bacterial small subunit ribosomal RNA", at positions 524 to 776 of the family's 1533-position model. The record is from RNAcentral.
UACAGAGGUCCCAAGCGUUGUUCGGAUUCACUGGGCGUAAAGGGUGCGUAGGCGGUCGGGUAAGUCUGAUGUGAAAUCUCACAGCUUAACUGUGAAACUGCAUUGGAUACUAUCCGGCUAGAGGAAUGGAGGGGAGACUGGAAUACUUGGUGUAGCAGUGAAAUGCGUAGAUAUCAAGUGGAACACCAGUGGCGAAGGCGAGUCUCUGGACAUUUCCUGACGCUGGGGAGCGAAAGCGUGGGGAGCGAACAGG